UACUAGAGUAGCACUCGCAUAUCAAUAAGCGGAGGAAAAGAAACUAACAAGGAUUCCCCUAGUAACGGCGAGUGAAGCGGGAAGAGCUCAAAUUUGAAAUCUUCAAGGUUUGACCUUGACGAAUUGUAGUUUAAAGAAGUGUUUUCUGUUGAAGUUUUGGUAAAAGUUCUUUGGAAUAGGACAUCAUAGAGGGUGAGAAUCCCGUAUUUGACCAUUAUUUUCAGCUGUGUGAUACACUUUCAAAGAGUCGGAUUGUUUGGGAAUGCAGUCCAAAAUGGGUGGUAAAUUUCAUCUAAAGCUAAAUAUUGGCGAGAGACCGAUAGCGAACAAGUACCGUGAGGGAAAGAUGAAAAGAACUUUGAAAAGAGAGUUAAACAGUACGUGAAAUUGUCAAAAGGGAAGCGUUUGACACCAGUGUUGUUUUCUCGAAAAUCAAUUAAAAAGUGCUUGGAUUUUGUAUUGUAUUGACUUUAUCGGCUUUCUGCACUUUUUUCAUGUCUUUUUUAAUGCACUUUUCGUUUAACAAGUCAACAUCAAUUUCUUUUGUUGUAAAAGGGUUAUUGGAAGGUGGCUUUCUCUUCGGAGAAAGUGUUUAUAGCCUUUAACCUCUGCAAUCGGAGAGAUUGAGGUCUGCAGCGUAGAUCCUUCGGGGUUAGAUACAUUUGUGCUAAGUUAUAGUCUUUUAUAGACAACUUGUUGACUAUGAUUGAUCUUGUAGCUUACUCGCUUAUGCUAUUUUACCUACGCUUAGGAUGUUGAAGAUGUAGCACAUCAU
Molecule: ribosomal RNA, 775 nt
Filed under: uncultured Neocallimastigales
Lineage: Eukaryota; Fungi; Neocallimastigomycota; Neocallimastigomycetes; Neocallimastigales
Description: partial large subunit ribosomal RNA
Rfam family: Eukaryotic large subunit ribosomal RNA
Source: RNAcentral